AUUGAGACGUCUGUAUGUAUUUGUUGCUAUUUCUGCGCUAGUGUGAGUGCAUGUCUGCACGUAGGCCAGACGCACACUUACACGCACACCGGUGUGCAGACGGUAAAAAACACAAGAACACACGGCGACAGCAUAAAAAUAAACAUAUGCUGUACAAACAUACAAGAAGGAGUUUGGUAGCAAACGGAGGCAAAGAAGUUAACUGGAAAAACGUUACCCAAUGAGCACUUAGGAGUGGAACUAAAAUACUGGAGGGGACAAUUAGCAAGGUGUGAAUUUAUUCAGAUUUUGAAAUUCACCAAUAACUGUUAAAAGCUGUCACUUGAUAUUCAAUACUCUCCCACCAAAGAAAAGGUCGACUGUGCAACGGCUUAGUCCAUUUAAGUAUGUAUGAAUACACAGGAAGACCAAAACAUAUAACCAGACUAUGAAUUUUUUAUAACUGAAGUCCAACAUUAACGUUUAAUACACACAUAAGUUCAAACUUGUAAAGCUUAUUUUAGCUUGCAACUUUCCAUUAAAAUUUUUAAUUAUAACAUUACAGAUUUUUUCACUGUGUAAAAGUGAAUCUUUCAGAUACGCAACGCACUCUCUCUUUCUCUCUCAAGCAACAAAUACAGACUCGGAUUCAAAUGCAGGCGAACAACAACUGCAUGUCGUAAUGCUGUUGAUGUAAUAAACAAGAGAGCAGCAACAACAAAGUAAUGACCAGGAAGAGCGAUGGCGAAAGAAAAGCUUAGCAAAACAAAAUUGUGACAAAGAACGAUAAAUAAAAAGGAGACUGACCAAGUUAAUAGAAGCUGAAAUCUAACUGGAAUUCGUGGCCCAAGUAUGUAUAUACCUGUUAUAUGAUGCAGUAAUAGUGCUUUAAUUUUAUGAGACCAAUUAAAAAGGAAUAAACUGGACAUAAAAUAACAGCAAAAUAAUUUUGUUUCUAAGUUCUUCGUUUUUUUAUGGCUUACGAAGUUAAUACAUAGGUCCGUUCAAACAUCUUUGAAGUUGAACUUUCAAUAGUCACGGCAGCUUUUAAGUCAACGGUAUUUAUUAAGAGAAGCUGCUUGUAACCUUCUAAAAAACAUGUUAAUGUAAAUGAUUAAAAUUAAUAACUGAAUCGUGAUUGAUAACUAUUUAUUUACCUAAAAAUAAUUUAAUUUAAUUUAAUAACCAUAAAUUUAUGACUGAUUUAUUGCUAUAAUAAAACUGUUCCCAGUGAGUGUGGUCUAAGAACAGUUUCCGCGCUCAGAGAGCAACUUUCUGAGAGCGAGAGAGCGUUGCAACAUAAAAACAAAAACGAAUGCGAUAGUCCAGUGUUUCGACUAUCAGAUUCCUGUUACUUAGAUAAACAAUUUCACAGAACGCGGUAAAACUCCUUCCGCUGCGUAUUUAACCCUAGAAUCUAAGUCUGCAAUGCAAAUUGCUGUACCAUAAACACAGUUAAUGCCCCAGAAUUCGGCGCAAAACUAGAAAAACACAUACUUUUUAUAUGUAAAAGCUAAAUCUCAAAAUUUUAGUAGCGGAUAGGCCGACAAAAUAAAAUAGCAACCCGUUUGAUGAACUAACUCAUAAAAUUUUUUACUUUGUGCACGGGGUAUAAAAUCAGCUCUCCGCUGCUAGCACUCACAACAUAGAUAUGUAUGUGGUUGUGUGCUUUAUGCAAUGCCUGUCAACGGGAGAGAGGUGGUACUGUGGUCGGGGGCGGGUGCCCGAUUGCUGCAUGCAGGUUAAUUCUACUCUCACUGCUAUUGUUGUUGUAUUUGCCAGACAGCGAUUCAAGAAGACAAAACAGGAAAAUGAAAAAUAAUUGAAUUGUAAGGCAACGUUUGUAGCAGAGGAGACGAAGAGAUGGAAAAGAGGGGAAUAACCACCGCAGACAUUUGCAAUUGGCAAUAAAUAAAAGUGCAAGAAGAAGAA
Drosophila ficusphila is the source of this 1911-nucleotide long non-coding RNA. RefSeq lists it as uncharacterized. NCBI's taxonomy places the organism in Eukaryota, Metazoa, Arthropoda, Insecta, Diptera, Drosophilidae. The record is from RefSeq and is a predicted model, not a curated record. The transcript has 2 exons.